UGGCUCAGAGCGAACGCUGGCGGCAGGCUUAACACAUGCAAGUCGAGCGGACCUUUCGGGGUCAGCGGCGGACGGGUGAGUAACGCGUGGGAACGUGCCUUCCGGUUCGGAAUAACCCUGGGAAACUAGGGCUAAUACCGGAUACGCCCUUAUGGGGAAAGGUUUACUGCCGGAAGAUCGGCCCGCGUCUGAUUAGCUAGUUGGUGGGGUAACGGCCUACCAAGGCGACGAUCAGUAGCUGGUCUGAGAGGAUGAUCAGCCACACUGGGACUGAGACACGGCCCAGACUCCUACGGGAGGCAGCAGUGGGGAAUAUUGGACAAUGGGCGCAAGCCUGAUCCAGCCAUGCCGCGUGAGUGAUGAAGGCCUUAGGGUUGUAAAGCUCUUUUAUCCGGGACGAUAAUGACGGUACCGGAGGAAUAAGCCCCGGCUAACUUCGUGCCAGCAGCCGCGGUAAUACGAAGGGGGCUAGCGUUGCUCGGAAUCACUGGGCGUAAAGGGCGCGUAGGCGGCGUUUUAAGUCGGGGGUGAAAGCCUGUGGCUCAACCACAGAAUGGCCUUCGAUACUGGGACGCUUGAGUAUGGUAGAGGUUGGUGGAACUGCGAGUGUAGAGGUGAAAUUCGUAGAUAUUCGCAAGAACACCGGUGGCGAAGGCGGCCAACUGGACCAUUACUGACG
This 679-nucleotide ribosomal RNA is filed under the name Methylobacterium fujisawaense. RNAcentral describes it as "bacterial SSU rRNA". It matches the Rfam family "Bacterial small subunit ribosomal RNA", at positions 20 to 745 of the family's 1533-position model. Lineage: Bacteria; Pseudomonadati; Pseudomonadota; Alphaproteobacteria; Hyphomicrobiales; Methylobacteriaceae. The record is from RNAcentral.